CAAAGGUAUAAGAUAGCAGAAACAGUUGGGAAGCUGUUCCAAAGAGGGUGACAGGCCCGUAUGCGAAAUCUUGUACUCUCUAAUCAGGAUCCUGAGUACGGCCCAGCACGUGAAAUUGGGUCGGAAUCUGGGAGGACCAUCUCCCAAGGCUAAAUACUAACUAGUGACCGAUAGCGAACAAGUACCGUGAGGGAAAGGUGAAAAGAACCCCGGAAGGGGAGUGAAAUAGUUCUUGAAACCGUGUGCUUACAAGAAGUUCGAGGCCGUUAAUGGCUGAGAGCGUGCUUUUUGUAGAAUGAACCGGAGAGUUACGAUUGCGUGCAAGGUUAAGGUGCAAAGACUGGAGCCGUAGCGAAAGCGAGUCUUAAUAGGGCGAAUCAGUACGUAGUUGUAGACCCGAAACCGAGUGACCUAUCCAUGGUCAGGUUGAAGGUGGGGU
Molecule: ribosomal RNA, 439 nt
Filed under: Oenococcus oeni
Lineage: Bacteria; Bacillati; Bacillota; Bacilli; Lactobacillales; Lactobacillaceae
Description: bacterial LSU rRNA
Rfam family: Bacterial large subunit ribosomal RNA
Source: RNAcentral